This 304-nucleotide ribosomal RNA is filed under the name uncultured bacterium. Its description in RNAcentral is "partial 16S ribosomal RNA". It matches the Rfam family "Bacterial small subunit ribosomal RNA", at positions 506 to 809 of the family's 1533-position model. The record is from RNAcentral.
CAGCAGCCGCCGCGGUAAUACGGAGGGUGCAAGCGUUAUCCGGAUUCACUGGGUUUAAAGGGUGCGUAGGCGGGCAGGUAAGUCAGUGGUGAAAUCUUCGAGCUUAACUCGGAAACUGCCGUUGAUACUAUCUGUCUUGAAUAACGUUGAGGUGAGCGGAAUAUGUCAUGUAGCGGUGAAAUGCUUAGAUAUGACAUAGAACACCGAUUGCGAAGGCAGCUCACUAAACGCUCAUUGACGCUGAGGCACGAAAGCGUGGGGAUCAAACAGGAUUAGAUACCCGCGUAGUCCCUGUCUCUUAUAA